RNAcentral lists this ribosomal RNA (254 nucleotides) under uncultured bacterium. RNAcentral's name for it is "partial 16S ribosomal RNA". It matches the Rfam family "Bacterial small subunit ribosomal RNA", at positions 524 to 777 of the family's 1533-position model. The record is from RNAcentral.
UACGUAGGGUGCAAGCGUUGCCCGGAUUUAUUGGGCGUAAAGGGCGCGCAGGCGGCUACGCACGUCCGUUGUGAAAUCGCUCGGCUCAACUGGGCGGGGUCAGCGGAUACGGCGUAGCUGGAGCAAGCUAGGGGGCAAUGGAAUUCCCGGUGUAGUGGUGGAAUGCGUAGAUAUCGGGAGGAACACCAGUGGCGAAGGCGGUUGCCUGGAGCUUUGCUGACGCUGAGGCGCGAAAGCUAGGGGAGCAAACAGGG